RNAcentral lists this long non-coding RNA (1350 nucleotides) under Nicotiana benthamiana. Its description in RNAcentral is "long non-coding RNA (NBEN_LNC008719)". Lineage: Eukaryota; Viridiplantae; Streptophyta; Magnoliopsida; Solanales; Solanaceae. The record is from RNAcentral.
UCAAAGCGAAGCUCCAAGUACGGAAGAAAUAGCUUUAUCAGUAGGAGUUCUUUGGAAGAAGAACGUUUAUCAGUGUCCUUUGGCUGGGUUUGAGAGAGAGAGGGUGAGACGGUGACCCUCUUUUGCUUUUUCAAGCUAUAAAUGUAAAGAUCAAGUUGAAAAGUGAAAGGGACAAAAUGGUAUGAAGUGCUUUUUAAGAUCAUAUUAUAUGAAAGAUGUAUGACAUGUGUGGAUAAUGAAUGACUUGCAAGGUAUGCAAUCUGAACCUCCACAGAGUACAAAAGGUCAUACCUAAUAAGAGAAAUGAGCCCAUGUGGUGCUUCAUUCUACGAUAUAUAUAAGAUCCAUCUGUAUAGAUAUCAUCGGCGGGUAAAUCUAAUUCAAUCGGUAAAUCCAUCUCAGGAGUAAGCUGCUCCGUUGUGGCCACUUCUGUACAUGUACCGGCUUGAGCAGCCGAAAUAUUGAUACUGGGAGAUUGGGGAUUUUCGACAUCAUUAUUUAAAGAAAAUUUGAUAGUUAAAAAUCACUUUUGAUCAUCUUAGGGGAAAAUGCACGAGUUGCGCACAAAGACUUAAAUUUAAUAUUACAAAUUGGAAUUGGAAAGAAUGGGAAUUCAUUACUCUUUUAUGCAUAUUGACUAUCGAAGUAUGUUCUACUUUGGACUUGGUCAUGCGCUCAGAAUGUAGAACUCAAAUGGGCCUUCCAAUCCUAUGGAUCUUAGUUGCCCGGAAUAUGAGUUAUGUUUUUCCCGUUUUUGUUGGAAAGUAUCUUUCACUUUCAUUGGCAUGUAUGAUUCACUUCACAGUCAAUUUUUUUCUUCUUGACAGAAAGCAUUCCAUCCUUCCCUUCCUUCAUUGAUUGAUUCUACACCGACUGGAAUUGGAAUGACCUGGCUACGACCGAUGGGAUUGGUUCGCUGGCAAAGGCCCCAUUGCUGGAAAGGUUCGGCUUCAAAACCGUACGUGGAGCUUCUGCCUCAUACGACUCCUCUAGGGAUGGAGGUAGGCCCAAUCCAGACUUGUGCGAUUAAAGUUGUUGUACACGACUUCAUAAGAAAAAAAUAAAAAAACAAUGUUUUCAUCUUUUGGUCUUUGAAUCCGAUCUACUAUAUCAUCUUCCAGUUCAAUUGAGGUCUUGUCAUUGAUUACAAUUGAGAAUUCGUGCUUAUUAUUUUCUUGAUAAUCUACAACGAAAUACAAUUAAUCAAAUUGAAAUGUGAAAGAUUUGAAAUUAUAUGCCCAUCGUAGCUGUAUAAAAGAUGGAUCUUGAUAGUGAAAGUGAGAAGAAGUGACAGGUCCAAGAGGGAAUUCAUGGUGGUAGACGAUAUAUAUAUGUCAAUAAGGUGUUAAU